Lycium barbarum (goji berry) is the source of this 348-nucleotide long non-coding RNA. RefSeq lists it as uncharacterized. The transcript has 3 exons. The record is from RefSeq and is a predicted model, not a curated record. Lineage: Eukaryota; Viridiplantae; Streptophyta; Magnoliopsida; Solanales; Solanaceae.
GGGAUCGUGCGCUCCUUAUUUAGCUGGCCACAUAUGCCACUUAGCAUAAAGCGACUCGACAAUAAUGAGAGAUGUAUUAAGAAGGAUGAUCAAUCACCACACUAGAUGGGUAAGACAGGCAUCCAACACAUUAAAUACGGAUAUAGCUGAAGGUUAUCUAGCAACAUAUCGUUGAGUUGCUCGUCUAGUUUCCACAUGGAGCCACCCACCCGUCCACGGAGCAUGAGAUCAUCAAGUUUUCAGACAGCAGACAAGGGAAAAAGCAUAGCCUCAACCCAAGACAUUUACAGACAAAAGGUACUAGGUAAUCUUCAUUUUAGACCUACAUCUGCAUUAGACAAAAACGCC